UGGGGAAUUUUGGACAAUGGGGGAAACCCUGAUCCAGCCAUGCCGCGUGUGUGAAGAAGGCCUUCGGGUUGUAAAGCACUUUUGGCGGGAACGAAACGGUACGCACUAACACUGUGUGCUAAUGACGGUACCCGCAGAAUAAGCACCGGCUAACUACGUGCCAGCAGCCGCGGUAAUACGUAGGGUGCAAGCGUUAAUCGGAAUUACUGGGCGUAAAGCGUGCGCAGGCGGUUUCGUAAGACAGAUGUGAAAUCCCCGGGCUUAACCUGGGAACUGCAUUUGUGACUGCGAGGCUAGAGUGUGUCAGAGGGGGGUAGAAUUCCACGUGUAGCAGUGAAAUGCGUAGAGAUGUGGAGGAACACCGAUGGCGAAGGCAGCCCCCUGGGAUAACACUGACGCU
Molecule: ribosomal RNA, 400 nt
Filed under: uncultured bacterium
Lineage: Bacteria
Description: bacterial SSU rRNA
Rfam family: Bacterial small subunit ribosomal RNA
Source: RNAcentral